UCGAUGAAGAACGCAGCGAAUAGCGAUAUGUAAUGUGAAUUGCAGAUCUACAGUGAAUCAUCGAAUCUUUGAACGCACCUUGCGCUCCUCGGUGUUCCGAGGAGCAUGCCUGUUUGAGCGUCAGUAAAUUCUCAACUCCUCUCGAUUGACUUCGAGUGGAGCUUGGAUAGUGUGGGCUGCCGGAGACCUGAAUAUUCGUGUUCGGGACUCGGGCUCCCCUGAAAUGUAUUGGCUUGCGGUCUGUUUUCGACUUUGCAUGACAAGGCUUUUGGCGUGAUAAUGAUCGCCGCUCGCCGAAGUGCAUGAAUGAAACCGUGCCGUGCCUCUAAUCCGUCGAUGCCUCUAUGGGGCGUCUUCUUUACGCAUUUGACCUCAAAUCAGGUAGGACUACCCGCUGAACUUAA
This 404-nucleotide ribosomal RNA is filed under the name uncultured Suillus. Its description in RNAcentral is "eukaryotic LSU rRNA". The stretch from base 1 to 123 matches the Rfam family "5.8S ribosomal RNA", at positions 33 to 154 of the family's 154-position model. Lineage: Eukaryota; Fungi; Basidiomycota; Agaricomycetes; Boletales; Suillaceae. The record is from RNAcentral.